UUCAAUGUAAGGCUAUGGCCUCAUUUCUUAGUCUUUAGAUUUACCUAGUACAUUUAUAACUACCUUAUACUCUCCAAUAUAUAUCGGGUUGUGGUUUCUUUGUACUGUUUCUUUACUUUCAUACACAGUUUAUACUGUCGUUCCAUGUGUUGAGUACUCGUGAUGGCGAUCAAUCCAGAAAAAGUCCACACCUUCUAUACCGAGUAAGGAGAACGUCAAAUUUAAUCAAUUGCCGUUACACACUCAGAGUUUCGUACACGUAGGUGGCAACGUAUCGAUAGUACUGGGAACCUCCAUCUUUUUUUGAUCUAAUCUACACUGAAUCAAUUCAGAGCAGACCUACCCUCGAUCGAUGUGCAUUCAAAACAAUAACAAUGUUAUUUAAUCAAUUGUUGUGUAAGAAGUUAUGUAUCAUUAAUUCGAAUUGUUGGAGGGAUUUAUCAUCUGGCAUUAAAUGAAGUACGUAAGAGAACGAAA
RNAcentral lists this ribosomal RNA (477 nucleotides) under Triticum aestivum (bread wheat). Its description in RNAcentral is "partial small subunit ribosomal RNA". The record is from RNAcentral. Lineage: Eukaryota; Viridiplantae; Streptophyta; Magnoliopsida; Poales; Poaceae.